GGACGAACGCUGGCGGCGUGCUUAACACAUGCAAGUCGAGCGGUAAGGCCCGUUCGGGGUACGACGAGCGGCGAACGGGUGAGUAACACGUGGGUGACCUGCCCUUAGCUCUGGGAUAAGCCUGGGAAACUGGGUCUAAUACCGGAUAUGACUCCAUGACGCAUGUUGUGGGGUGGAAAGCCUUGUGCGGCUAGGGAUGGGCCCGCGGCCUAU
This 213-nucleotide ribosomal RNA is filed under the name uncultured bacterium. RNAcentral's name for it is "partial 16S ribosomal RNA". It matches the Rfam family "Bacterial small subunit ribosomal RNA", at positions 27 to 241 of the family's 1533-position model. The record is from RNAcentral.